CAGUCGCCGCGGGAAUACGAACCGUGCGAACGUUAUUCGGAAUUACUGGGCUUAAAGCGCGUGUAGGCGGGUCGGCACGUCGGUCGCUGAAAUCCCCCGGCUCAACCGGGGAAGUGGCGCCGAUACGGCCGGCCUGGAGGGGGGUAGGGGGGCCUGGAACUUCUGGUGGAGCGGUGAAAUGCGUUGAGAUCGGAAGGAACGCCCGUGACGAAAGCGAGGCCCUGGACCCUUUCUGACGCUGAGACGCGGAAGCCAGGGGAGCGAACGGGAUUAGAUACCCGCGUAGUCCCUGUCUCUUAUA
RNAcentral lists this ribosomal RNA (301 nucleotides) under uncultured bacterium. Its description in RNAcentral is "partial 16S ribosomal RNA". It matches the Rfam family "Bacterial small subunit ribosomal RNA", at positions 509 to 807 of the family's 1533-position model. The record is from RNAcentral.